This 470-nucleotide ribosomal RNA is filed under the name uncultured bacterium. RNAcentral describes it as "bacterial SSU rRNA". It matches the Rfam family "Bacterial small subunit ribosomal RNA", at positions 350 to 812 of the family's 1533-position model. The record is from RNAcentral.
AGCAGUAGGGAAUCUUCCGCAAUGGGCGAAAGCCUGACGGAGCAACGCCGCGUGAGUGAUGAAGGUCUUCGGAUCGUAAAACUCUGUUAUUAGGGAAGAACAAAUGUGUAAGUAACUAUGCACGUCUUGACGGUACCUAAUCAGAAAGCCACGGCUAACUACGUGCCAGCAGCCGCGGUAAUACGUAGGUGGCAAGCGUUAUCCGGAAUUAUUGGGCGUAAAGCGCGCGUAGGCGGUUUUUUAAGUCUGAUGUGAAAGCCCACGGCUCAACCGUGGAGGGUCAUUGGAAACUGGAAAACUUGAGUGCAGAAGAGGAAAGUGGAAUUCCAUGUGUAGCGGUGAAAUGCGCAGAGAUAUGGAGGAACACCAGUGGCGAAGGCGACUUUCUGGUCUGUAACUGACGCUGAUGUGCGAAAGCGUGGGGAUCAAACAGGAUUAGAUACCCUGGUAGUCCACGCCGUAAACGAUGA